GUGGCAACUCUCUGGCGCCAAAAGAGAAUUUGAUUUGAUUGCAUUUAAAAAGUUGGUUUUGCCAGCGAGCCCAGGAAUACUAUAUUUAAUUUUUAAUAAUUGCGGUAGUGGCUCUUAAAAUGAAAAUGGUUACAUGAUAUUCACGCCGCGUCGUCAUAGGCCUCUAAAACGAUUCUUUAAUCGUUAACAAUUCAUGGUAUCUGCCUGCUACGUAUUUCCGGACAACAUCGUCAUCUUAUUGCGUAUGACGUCAUGGAUAAACUAGGUCACGGACUUAUUACGCAGCAAAACUGCAGCAUAACUCCCUUUGUCCUCAAUAACAGUUUAGGUUUUCCAACCACCGAAUUUUCAACCUUUCAGAAGGCAGCAUACCUGUAUUUUUCCUCAUACUACGCCGUCGUUUGCCUGAAAAGACCUUGAACCGGGUUGCAUUUGAAAUUGCGAAAUGCGCAUGACUCAGCGAACCCCCAUACCUUCCCAUUCCCUUCUAUUAAAAACAGUGAGCGAAUGCACCCUAACAGAUUUUGCGGGUUCUUUGCUACCGAAGCUAGAAACUGGGUCAACUACGCAAUAGCAUUACGAUUAUGAUGAUUUAUGGUUUUGGAGGAGUCGAAUGAAUGCGUAUGCUAGGGAUGGUGUUGCAUUAAAAAUGUAUUUAUUAACUUAGAUUCAACCAAAUUUAGUCUUGGAUAAGAUAAAUCGAGCAAUCCGAUGUCCGCUCUUGGGGGUGACAGUACCGAACACACUGCAUUGGUACAUUAUAUCGCAAUAUUGAUGGAGUUUCUUAAGUUAAUUAAAUAUUACUACUGCUAAAUAUUAUGUACACUUGGACAAAAAUACAUCGGAGGUGCAUGCACACCUCCUCUAUAUGACAUUGUUUGGUGUAGCCUUCAAAACUAAUUUAUUUUGGAUUCAAGUCUCUGUGCGGGUGAAGAGAAAUAUAUUGAGAGAGAGAAAGAGUGUUCAUUAGAGCCAAACGAUUUUUGAGGAUGUCGGUGUGGUUGGGGUGGAACUGGGGAGUGCGCUGGCGGUACUGCGCUGCACUGCACUGUAACGAUCCGAUCUGUUAAGCUGGUGUUUAGAAUUGCAUUCGCGUUGCUUGUUGUAUGUCUGUUGCUGGAGUUGUUCUGGCUGUUCAGCUAGCUAACUUAAUUACAAUCUUAUCUACAUGCUAAACAUGUCCGCCUUUUUCUUUCGAGUCU
Long non-coding RNA from Drosophila pseudoobscura, 1202 nucleotides. RefSeq lists it as uncharacterized. The transcript is spliced from 2 exons. NCBI's taxonomy places the organism in Eukaryota, Metazoa, Arthropoda, Insecta, Diptera, Drosophilidae. The record is from RefSeq and is a predicted model, not a curated record.